CCGCCGGCGCCUGUCGUGACAGGAAUGGCAGCCUGGAGCGCGGCUGCCUCACCUCUGUCGCGACAGGAGCCCCGUCUAGCGGAGGGUCAGUGAAUUUUGGGAGAAGAAUGACUAAAUUGAAGACUGUUCUACAGGUCUUUCUCCUCCAGAGUGUCACUGCAGAAGGCAGCUCUGCAUUUCCCUCAUGAUCACUUCCAUACCUUUCCGCAGAUGUGCAAGAUUGAUGUUAGUUGACCAGUGGGGAUUUCUAUGCAGGUGAUACCCUCCAAAUCAUUUUUGGCAGUUGCACAUUUAAAAAACAUUUACAGAUAUGAUAGCUU
RNAcentral lists this long non-coding RNA (320 nucleotides) under Apteryx owenii (little spotted kiwi). RNAcentral's name for it is "lncRNA (ENSAOWG00000015862.1)". The record is from RNAcentral. Lineage: Eukaryota; Metazoa; Chordata; Aves; Apterygiformes; Apterygidae.